This 503-nucleotide ribosomal RNA is filed under the name uncultured bacterium. Its description in RNAcentral is "partial 16S ribosomal RNA". It matches the Rfam family "Bacterial small subunit ribosomal RNA", at positions 28 to 507 of the family's 1533-position model. The record is from RNAcentral.
GAUGAACGCUGGCGGCGUGCUUAACACAUGCAAGUCGAACGAGCGAUGUAGACGGACACCUUCGGGCGGAAGCCUUCAUUUCGAGUGGCGGCCGGGGGAGUAACGCGUGGGUAACCUGCCUCAUACAGGGGGAUAACAGUUGGAAACGACUGAUAAUACCGCAUAAGACCACAGCAACGCAUGAUGCGGGGGUAAAAACUCUGGUAGUAUGAGAUGGACCCGCGUUGCAUGAGCCAGAUGGAGGGGUAACGGCACACAAAAGCGAAGAUGCAUAGCCGACCGCAGCGGGUGAUCGGCCACCAUGGCACUGAGACACGGUCCAGACUCCUACGGGAGGCCGCAGUAGGGAAUCUUCCGCAAUGGGCCAACGCCUGACGGAGCAACGCCGCGUGAGUGAUGAAGGUCUUCGGAUCGUAAAACUAUGUUAUUAGGGAAGAACAUAUGUGUAAGUAACUGUGCACAUCUUGACGGUACCUAAUCAGAAAGCCAGGGCUAACUACGUG